CAGAGGGUGCGAACGUUGUUCGGAAUUACUGGGCGUAAAGCGCGUGUAGGCGGCAGCGCAAGUCGGGCGUGAAAUCCCACGGCUCAACCGUGGAAGUGCACUCGAAACUGCGCAGCUAGAGUCCUGGAGAGGAAGGUGGAAUGCUUGGUGUAGAGGUGAAAUUCGUAGAUAUCAAGCGGAACACCGGUGGCGAAGGCGGCCUUCUGGACAGUGACUGACGCUGAGACGCGAAAGCGUGGGGAGCAAACAGGAUUAGAUACCCUGGUAGUCCACGCCGUAAACGAUGAGUGCUAGGUGUCACGGGCUUUGACCCUCGUGGUGCCGAAGCUAACGCGUUAAGCACUCCGCCUGGGGAGUACGGCCGCAAGGCUA
Molecule: ribosomal RNA, 372 nt
Filed under: uncultured organism
Description: bacterial SSU rRNA
Rfam family: Bacterial small subunit ribosomal RNA
Source: RNAcentral